UACGGAAGGCAGCAGUGGGGAAUAUUGCACAAUGGGCGCAAGCCUGAUGCAGCCAUGCCGCGUGUAUGAAGAAGGCCUUCGGGUUGUAAAGUACUUUCAGUCGUGAGGAAGGUGUUAAGGUUAAUAACCUUAGCAAUUGACGUUAGCGACAGAAGAAGCACCGGCUAACUCCGUGCCAGCAGCCGCGGUAAUACGGAGGGUGCGAGCGUUAAUCGGAAUUACUGGGCGUAAAGGGCACGCAGGCGGUUAAUUAAGUUGGAUGUGAAAUCCCCGGGCUUAACCUGGGAAUGGCAUUCAAGACUGGUUAGCUAGAGUCUUGUAGGAGGGGGUUAGAAUUCCAUGUGUAGCGGUGAAAUGCGUAGAGAUGUGGAGGAAUACCGGUGCGAAGGCGGCCCCUGGACAAGCUGACGCUCAUGUGCGAAAGCGUGGGGAGCAAACGAGGGAUUAGAUACC
This 453-nucleotide ribosomal RNA is filed under the name uncultured bacterium. Its description in RNAcentral is "bacterial SSU rRNA". It matches the Rfam family "Bacterial small subunit ribosomal RNA", at positions 340 to 786 of the family's 1533-position model. The record is from RNAcentral.